This 249-nucleotide ribosomal RNA is filed under the name uncultured Allobosea sp. RNAcentral's name for it is "uncultured Bosea sp. partial 16S ribosomal RNA". It matches the Rfam family "Bacterial small subunit ribosomal RNA", at positions 355 to 621 of the family's 1533-position model. The record is from RNAcentral. Lineage: Bacteria; Pseudomonadati; Pseudomonadota; Alphaproteobacteria; Hyphomicrobiales; Alloboseaceae.
UGGGGAAUCUUAGACAAUGGGCGCAAGCCUGAUCUAGCCAUGCCGCGUGAUCGAUGAAGGCCUUAGGGUUGUAAAGAUCUUUCAGUGGGGAAGAUAAUGACUGUACCCACAGAAGAAGCCCCGGCUAACUUCGUGCCAGCAGCCGCGGUAAUACGAAGGGGGCUAGCGUUGCUCGGAAUCACUGGGCGUAAAGGGUGCGUAGGCGGGUUUUUAAGUCAGAGGUGAAAUCCUGGAGCUCAACUCCAGAAC